UACGUAGGUGGCAAGCGUUAUCCGGAAUUACUGGGCGUAAAGCGUGCGUAGGCGGUUCCUCAAGUCCGUUGUGAAAGCCCCGGGCUCAACCUGGGAAUGGCAGUGGAAACUAGGGGACUGGAAUCUGGCAGAGGGGGGUGGAAUGCCGCGUGUAGCAGUGAAAUGCGUAGAGAUGCGGCGGAACACCGAUGGCGAAGGCAGCCCCCUGGGCUGAGAUUGACGCUCAGGCACGAAAGCGUGGGGAGCAAACAGG
Molecule: ribosomal RNA, 253 nt
Filed under: uncultured bacterium
Lineage: Bacteria
Description: partial 16S ribosomal RNA
Rfam family: Bacterial small subunit ribosomal RNA
Source: RNAcentral